RNAcentral lists this ribosomal RNA (253 nucleotides) under uncultured bacterium. RNAcentral's name for it is "partial 16S ribosomal RNA". It matches the Rfam family "Bacterial small subunit ribosomal RNA", at positions 524 to 776 of the family's 1533-position model. The record is from RNAcentral.
GACAGAGGAGGCAAGCGUUGUUCGGAAUUACUGGGCGUAAAGGGCUCGUAGGCGGCCAACUAAGUCAGACGUGAAAUCCCCAGGCUCAACCUGGGAACUGCGUCUGAUACUGGAUGGCUUGAAUUCGGGAGAGGGAUGCAGAAUUCCAGGUGUAGCGGUGAAAUGCGUAGAUAUCUGGAGGAAUACCGGUGGCGAAGGCGGCAUCCUGGACCGACAUUGACGCUGAUGAGCGAAAGCUAGGGGAGCAAACGGG